GGAGGGUGCAAGCGUUAAUCGGAAUUACUGGGCGUAAAGAGCACGUAGGUGGAUGAAUAAGUUGGCUGUGAAAUCCCCGGGCUUAACCUGGGAGGGCCAGCCGAUACUGUUUGUCUAGAGUACAGUAGAGGGAAGUGGAAUUUCCGGUGUAGCGGUGAAAUGCGUAGAUAUCGGAAGGAACAUCAGUGGCGAAGGCGACUUUCUGGACUGAUACUGACACUGAGGUGCGAAAGCGUGGGUAGCGAACAGGGAUUAGAUACCCUGGUAGUCCACGCUGUAAACGAUGAGAACUAGCCCGUUGGGGAGUUAAUCUUUUUAGUGGCGCAGCAAACGCGAUAAGUUCUCCGCCUGGGGAGUACGGCCGCAAGGCUA
RNAcentral lists this ribosomal RNA (372 nucleotides) under uncultured organism. Its description in RNAcentral is "partial 16S ribosomal RNA". It matches the Rfam family "Bacterial small subunit ribosomal RNA", at positions 527 to 896 of the family's 1533-position model. The record is from RNAcentral.